GAAAGCUACUGUGCGGGGAGGAGCUUGCGUACCAUUAGCUAGUUGGUAGGGUAACGGCCUACCAAGGCGAUGAUGGUUAGCGGGUCUGAGAGGAUGAUCCGCCACACUGGAACUGAAACACGGACCAGACUCCUACGGGAGGCAGCAGUGAGGAAUAUUGCGCAAUGGGGGCAACCCUGACGCAGCGACGCCGCGUGGAUGAUGAAGGCCUUCGGGUUGUAAAAUCCUGUCAGAUGGGAAGAAGUGCUAUAGUGUUAAUAUCAGUAUAGUUUGACGGUACCAUCAAAGGAAGCACCGGCUAACUCCGUGCCAGCAGCCGCGGUAAUACGGAGGGUGCAAGCGUUGUUCGGAAUUACUGGGCGUAAAGCGCGCGUAGGCGGCUAUUCAAGUCAGAUGUGAAAGCCCCGCGGCUCAACCGUGGANGUGCAUUUUGAAACUGGAUGCUUGAGUACUGGAGGGGGUA
RNAcentral lists this ribosomal RNA (463 nucleotides) under uncultured bacterium. RNAcentral's name for it is "bacterial SSU rRNA". It matches the Rfam family "Bacterial small subunit ribosomal RNA", at positions 202 to 660 of the family's 1533-position model. The record is from RNAcentral.